CCUACGGGAGGCAGCAGUGGGGAAUAUUGCACAAUGGGGGGAACCCUGAUGCAGCGACGCCGCGUGAGCGAAGAAGUAUUUCGGUAUGUAAAGCUCUAUCAGCAGGGAAGAAAAUGACGGUACCUGACUAAGAAGCCCCGGCUAACUACGUGCCAGCAGCCACGGUAAUACGUAGGGGGCAAGCGUUAUCCGGAUUUACUGGGUGUAAAGGGAGCGCAGACGGCUGUGCAAGUCUGGAGUGAAAGGCGGGGGCCCAACCCCCGGACUGCUCUGGAAACUGUAAAGCUGGAGUGCAGGAGAGGUAAGCGGAAUUCCUAGUGUAGCGGUGAAAUGCGUAGAUAUACGGAGGAACACCAGAGGCGAAGGCGGAUUGCUGGACAGUAACUGACGCUGAGGCGCGAAAGCGUGGGGAGCAAACAGGAUUAGAUACCCUGGUAGUC
RNAcentral lists this ribosomal RNA (440 nucleotides) under uncultured bacterium. Its description in RNAcentral is "partial 16S ribosomal RNA". It matches the Rfam family "Bacterial small subunit ribosomal RNA", at positions 338 to 795 of the family's 1533-position model. The record is from RNAcentral.